UACGUAGGUGGCAAGCGUUGUCCGGAUUUACUGGGCGUAAAGAGCGCGCAGGCGGUCGUUCAAGUCGUGUGUGAAAGCCCCCGGCUCAACUGGGGAGGGUCACGCGAUACUGAUCGACUCGAAGGCAGGAGAGGGAAGUGGAAUUCCCGGUGUAGUGGUGAAAUGCGUAGAUAUCGGGAGGAACACCAGUGGCGAAGGCGACUUCCUGGCCUGUUCUUGACGCUGAGGCGCGAAAGCUAGGGGAGCAAACGGG
Molecule: ribosomal RNA, 253 nt
Filed under: uncultured bacterium
Lineage: Bacteria
Description: partial 16S ribosomal RNA
Rfam family: Bacterial small subunit ribosomal RNA
Source: RNAcentral